ACGAACGCUGGCGGCGUGCUUCACACAUGCAAGUCGAACGAUGAAGCGGGUGCUUGCACUCGUGGAUUAGUGGCGAACGGGCGAGUAACACGUGAGUAACCUGUCCUUUUCUUUGGGAUAACGGCUGGAAACGGCUGCUAAUACUGGAUAUUCAGGCUGCAUCGCAUGGUGUGGUUUGGAAAGGUUUUUUCUGGGAUUGGGUGGGCUCGCGGCCUAUCAGCUUGUUGGUGGGGUGAUGGCUUACCAAGGCUUUGACGGGUAGCCGGCCUGAGAGGGUGGUCGGUCGCACUGGGACUGAGAUACGGCCCAGACUCCUACGGGAGGCAGCAGUGGGGAAUACUGCACAAUGGACGAAAGUUUGAUGCAGCGACGCCGCGUGGAGGGUGUAGGCCUUCGGGUUGUGAACUCCUUUUUCUCGCGAAAAAGGCACAGUUUUGGCUGUGUUGAUGGUAGUGGGGGAAGAAGCGCCGGCUAACUACGUG
Molecule: ribosomal RNA, 482 nt
Filed under: uncultured bacterium
Lineage: Bacteria
Description: partial 16S ribosomal RNA
Rfam family: Bacterial small subunit ribosomal RNA
Source: RNAcentral